GACGAACGCUGGCGGCGUGCUUAACACAUGCAAGUCGAACGGUAAGGCCCUUCGGGGUACACGAGUGGCGAACGGGUGAGUAACACGUGGGUGAUCUGCCCUGCACUUUGGGAUAAGCCUGGGAAACUGGGUCUAAUACCGGAUAGGACCACUGCCUGCAUGGGUGGUGGUGGAAAGCUUUUGCGGUGUGGGAUGGGCCCGCGGCCUAUCAGCUUGUUGGUGGGGUGAUGGCCUACCAAGGCGACGACGGGUAGCCGGCCUGAGAGGGUGACCGGCCACACUGGGACUGAGAUACGGCCCAGACUCCUACGGGAGGCAGCAGUGGGGAAUAUUGCACAAUGGGCGCAAGCCUGAUGCAGCGACGCCGCGUGAGGGAUGACGGCCUUCGGGUUGUAAACCUCUUUCAGCACCGACGAGCGCAAGUGACGGUAGGUGCAGAAGAAGGACCGGCCAACUACGUGCCAGCCGCCGCGGUAA
RNAcentral lists this ribosomal RNA (477 nucleotides) under uncultured bacterium. RNAcentral's name for it is "partial 16S ribosomal RNA". It matches the Rfam family "Bacterial small subunit ribosomal RNA", at positions 28 to 523 of the family's 1533-position model. The record is from RNAcentral.